Molecule: non-coding RNA, 269 nt
Filed under: Ruminiclostridium cellobioparum subsp. termitidis
Lineage: Bacteria; Bacillati; Bacillota; Clostridia; Eubacteriales; Oscillospiraceae
Description: Clostridium termitidis T-box sequence
Rfam family: T-box leader
About the family: Uncharged tRNA acts as the effector for transcription antitermination of genes in the T-box leader family. T-boxes are found upstream of many aminoacyl-tRNA synthetase genes and some amino acid biosynthetic genes usually in Gram-positive bacteria. The anticodon of a specific tRNA base pairs to a specifier sequence within the T-box motif, and the NCCA acceptor tail of the tRNA base pairs to a conserved bulge in the T-box antiterminator hairpin.
Source: RNAcentral
AAAAUAGCGUUGACAAGGAGGAGUACAUACUCACCGGAAGCAAAGAGAGAAGAUGGUUGGUGGAAAUCUUCGUGAAGGAGGUAUGGAAGUAGCCUUUGAGCUGUGAACCGAAAGGAGCGAUCCCAGUAGGCUUCAACGGAGAUUUCCACCGUUACAGGGAAAGCGAUAUCGGAUAAGUUAACAGGUUUGAGAUUAUCCCGUAUUGACAGAGUGCAGAUAGUUUAUCUGAAUUUAGGUGGUACCGCGGACGCAUGUAAUCCGCCCUAAGC